GAUGAAGAACGCAGCGAAAUGGGAUAAGUAAUGUGAAUUGCAGAAUUCAGUGAAUCAUCGAAUCUUUGAACGCACAUUGCGCCCCUUGGUAUUCCGAGGGGCAUGCCUAUUCGAGCGUCAUUAUCACCCCUCAAGCCUAGCUUGGUGUUGAGGCCUGCUGUCAAGGCAGCCUCUAAAAUCAGUGGCAGUGCUGUCAGGCUCUAAGCGUAGUAAAUCUAAUCGCUAUAGACACCUGGUGGACACUCGCCAGAACCCCCCCAUUUUUUAAUGAUUGACCUCGGAUUAGGUAGGGAUACCCGCUGAACUUAAGCAUAUCAAUAAGCGGAGGA
Molecule: unclassified non-coding RNA, 329 nt
Filed under: soil metagenome
Description: partial contains 5.8S ribosomal RNA, internal transcribed spacer 2, and large subunit ribosomal RNA
Rfam family: 5.8S ribosomal RNA (bases 1-120)
Source: RNAcentral